CCCUAUGGGGUGCAGCAGGCGCGAAAACUUUACAAUGCGGGAAACCGUGAUAAGGGGACACCGAGUGCCAGCAACAUUUGUUGGCUGUCCAGGUGUGUAAACUACACCUGUUAGCAAGGGCCGGGCAAGACCGGUGCCAGCCGCCGCGGUAACACCGGCGGCCCGAGUGGUGAUCGUGAUUAUUGGGUCUAAAGGGUCCGUAGCCGGUUUGGUCAGUCCUCCGGGAAAUCUGACGGCUUAACCGUUAGGCUUUCGGGGGAUACUGCCAGGCUUGGAACCGGGAGAGGUAAGAGGUACUACAGGGGUAGGAGUGAAAUCUUGUAAUCCCUGUGGGACCACCUGUGGCGAAGGCGUCUUACCAGAACGGGUUCGACGGUGAGGGACGAAAGCUGGGGGCACGAACCGGAUUAGAUACCCGGGUAGUCCCAGCCGUAAACGAUGCUCGCUAGGUGUCAGGCAUGGCGCGACCGUGUCUGGUGCCGCAGGGAAGCCGUGAAGCGAGCCACCUGGGAAGUACGGCCGCAAGGCUGAAACUUAAAGGAAUUGGCGGGGGAGCACAACAACGGGUGGAGCCUGCGGUUUAAUUGGAUUCAACGCCGGAA
This 602-nucleotide ribosomal RNA is filed under the name uncultured archaeon. RNAcentral's name for it is "bacterial SSU rRNA". It matches the Rfam family "Archaeal small subunit ribosomal RNA", at positions 321 to 923 of the family's 1478-position model. The record is from RNAcentral.